GACGAACGCUGGCGGCGUGCCUAACACAUGCAAGUCGAGCGGAGUCGAUCGACGGAAGCCUUCGGGCGGAAGAUGGUUGACUUAGCGGCGGAUGGGUGAGUAACGCGUGGGCAACCUGCCUCGAAGACCGGGAUAACAGCCCGAAAGGGCUGCUAAUACCGGAUGUGGUCAAGGAUCCGCAUGGAUUUUUGAUUAAAGGGGAAACCCGUUUCGAGAUGGGCCCGCGUCCUAUCAGCUAGUUGGUGAGGUAAAAGCUCACCAAGGCGACGACGGGUAGCCGGCCUGAGAGGGUGACCGGCCACACUGGAACUGAGACACGGUCCAGACUCCUACGGGGGGCAGCAGUGGGGAAUCUUCCACAAUGGGCGAAAGCCUGAUGGAGCGACGCCGCGUGAGCGAAGAAGGCCUUCGGUUGUAAACGUCUGUCAUGGGGAAGAAGUAAGUGACGGUACCCGAACGACGGAAGACCCCGUCGCGUAACUAACGUAGCCAGCAGCCGCGGUAAAGUAACUACUAU
RNAcentral lists this ribosomal RNA (517 nucleotides) under uncultured bacterium. RNAcentral describes it as "bacterial SSU rRNA". It matches the Rfam family "Bacterial small subunit ribosomal RNA", at positions 28 to 535 of the family's 1533-position model. The record is from RNAcentral.